This 492-nucleotide ribosomal RNA is filed under the name uncultured bacterium. RNAcentral's name for it is "partial 16S ribosomal RNA". It matches the Rfam family "Bacterial small subunit ribosomal RNA", at positions 29 to 507 of the family's 1533-position model. The record is from RNAcentral.
AGUGAGCGCUGGCGGUAGGCCUAACACAUGCAAGUCGAACGGCAGCACAGUAAGAGCUUGCUCUUACGGGUGGCGAGUGGCGGACGGGUGAGGAAUACAUCGGAAUCUACUUUUUCGUGGGGGAUAACGUAGGGAAACUUACGCUAAUACCGCAUACGACCUACGGGUGAAAGUAGGGGAUCUUCGGACCUUGCGCGAUUGAAUGAGCCGAUGUCGGAUUAGCUAGUUGGCGGGGUAAAGGCCCACCAAGGCGACGAUCCGUAGCUGGUCUGAGAGGAUGAUCAGCCACACUGGAACUGAGACACGGUCCAGACUCCUACGGGAGGCAGCAGUGGGGAAUAUUGGACAAAGGGCGCAAGCCUGAUCCAGCCAUACCGCGUGGGUGAAGAAGGCCUUCGGGUUGUAAAGCCCUUUUGUUGGGAAAGAAAAGCAGCAGGUUAAUACCCCGCUGUUCUGACGGUACCCAAAGAAUAAGCACCGGCUAACUUCGUG